GAAGCCAAACUAUAACUAACAUUCUUUUGUGAUUCCUUCUAUAGAAUACCUGAUUCCAGACCACGACACUGAUGUGCUUUGUGAAAAUUCAGGGUUUGAGUGCUGUGGUCAGUGGAAUUGCAGCGUGGACUCCAACAUACUGUUGACUGUCCUGAAACAAGAUGGCUGUUCUGGGCUGC
Molecule: long non-coding RNA, 179 nt
Organism: Salvelinus namaycush (lake trout)
Lineage: Eukaryota; Metazoa; Chordata; Actinopteri; Salmoniformes; Salmonidae
Exons: 3
Source: RefSeq, a predicted model, not a curated record